This 497-nucleotide ribosomal RNA is filed under the name uncultured bacterium. RNAcentral's name for it is "partial 16S ribosomal RNA". It matches the Rfam family "Bacterial small subunit ribosomal RNA", at positions 28 to 507 of the family's 1533-position model. The record is from RNAcentral.
GAUGAACGCUGGCGGCGUGCCUAAUACAUGCAAGUCGAGCGAACAGACGAGGAGCUUGCUCCUCUGACGUUAGCGGCGGACGGGUGAGUAACACGUGGAUAACCUACCUAUAAGACUGGGAUAACUUCGGGACACCGGAGCUAAUACCGGAUAAUAUAUUGAACCGCAUGGUUCAAUAGUGAAAGACGGUUUUGCUGUCACUUAUAGAUGGAUCCGCGCCGCAUUAUCUAGUUGGUAAGGUAACGGCUUACCAAGGCAACGAUGCGUAGCCGACCUGAGAGGGUGAUCGGCCACACUGGAACUGAGACACGGUCCAGACUCCUACGGGAGGCAGCAGUAGGGAAUCUUCCGCAAUGGGCGAAAGCUUGACGGAGCAACGCCGCGUGAGUGAUGAAGGUCUUCGGAUCGUAAAACUCUGUUAUUAGGGAAGAACAAAUGUGUAAGUAACUAUGCACGUCUUGACGGUACCUAAUCAGAAAGCCACGGCUAACUACGUG